GUCGGUAUAGUUCAGUGGUAGAAUUCAGGGAAUUUUUUGUAUUCCCCUGAGCCCCAAGGUUCGAUUCCUUGGUGCCGACC
Non-coding RNA from Amniculicola lignicola CBS 123094, 80 nucleotides. The record is from the annotation of a GenBank genome assembly. Lineage: Eukaryota; Fungi; Ascomycota; Dothideomycetes; Pleosporales; Amniculicolaceae.